AUUGAACGCUGGCGGCAGGCCUAACACAUGCAAGUCGAGCGAGCGGCGGACGGGUGAGUAAUGUCUGGGAAACUGCCUGAUGGAGGGGGAUCACUACUGGAAACGGUAGCUAAUACCGCAUACCAUCGGAUGUGCCCAGAUGGGAUUAGCUAGUGGGGGGGGUAACGGCUCACCUAGGCGACGAUCCCUAGCUGGUCUGAGAGGAUGACCAGCCACACUGGAACUGAGAAACGGUCCAGACUCCUACGGGAGGCAGCAGUGGGGAAUAUUGCACAAUGGGCGCAAGCCUGAUGCAGCCAUGCCGCGUGUGUGAAGAAGGCCUUCGGGUUGUAAAGCACUUUCAGCGGGGAGGCGUUACCAACAGAAUAAGCACCGGCUAACUUCGUGCCAGCAGCCGCGGUAAUAC
RNAcentral lists this ribosomal RNA (406 nucleotides) under uncultured bacterium. Its description in RNAcentral is "partial 16S ribosomal RNA". It matches the Rfam family "Bacterial small subunit ribosomal RNA", at positions 30 to 526 of the family's 1533-position model. The record is from RNAcentral.